RNAcentral lists this ribosomal RNA (1836 nucleotides) under termite gut metagenome. RNAcentral's name for it is "bacterial LSU rRNA". It matches the Rfam family "Bacterial large subunit ribosomal RNA", at positions 229 to 2049 of the family's 2925-position model. The record is from RNAcentral.
CCGAGAUUCCCUCAGUAGCGGCGAGCGAAGCGGGAGGAGCCCAAACCGCGGCAACGCGGGGUAGGCAGGCGCAAUUGAGUGGAUUAGCAUCAGAAGUCCGCUGGAAAGCGGCGCCCGAGCGGGUGAGAGCCCCUUAUGAUGCGGAUUUGCGAGAGGCUUGCCAAGAGUAGCGCAGGGCACGAAGAACCCGGUGCGAAGACGGGGGGACCACCCUCCAAGGCUAAAUACGAGCCGAUGACCGAUAGCGCACAGUACCGUGAGGGAAAGGCGAAAAGAACCCAGCGAUGGGAGUGAAACAGACCUGAAACCGCGUGCAUUCAUUCUGUCGCAGGGGGCAUACAUGCCCCUGACGGCGUGCCUUUUGUUUAAUGAGCCAGCGAGUUGCUCGCCCGUGGCGAGGCUAAGGAGGAUAGUCUCCGGAGCCGCAGCGAAAGCGAGUCUGAAACGGGCGUUUCAGUCGCGGGCGGCAGACACGAAGCCUUAGUGAUCUAUCCAAGGCCAGGCCGAAGCGGGGGUGACACCCCGUGGAGGGCCGAACCGAUAUGCAUUGAAACGCGUCCGGAUGAGCUUUGGAUAGGGGUGAAAGGCCAACCAAACUGGGCGAUAGCUUGUUCUCUCCGAAAAAUAUUUAGGUAUUGCGUGCAGCGAUGCUUGCCGGGGGUAGAGCACCGGAUGGACUAGGGGGCGCACCCGCCUACCAAACCCAACCGAACUCCGAAUACCGCGCAAGUUCAGCUGCGCAGGCAGCCCGCGGGCGAUAAGGUCAGCGGACGAAAGGGGAACAACCCGGACCACCGGCUAAGCGCCCCAUAGAGCGCGCUAAGUGAGAAAGGAAGUGGCGGGGCGGUGACAGCCAGGAGGUUGGCUUAGAAGCAGCCAUCCUUUAAAGAAAGCGUAACAGCUCACUGGUCGACGCCCUGCCGCGCCCAAAAUUAUCGGGGCUAAGCGCGCCGCCGAAGCCGUGGAUUCCAUAGCGAUAUGGAGUGGUAGGAGAGCGUCCCGUAUGCCUGGGAAGGCGGCAGGCGAUUGCCGCUGGAGGCAUCGGGAAUGAGAAUGCUGGCAUGAGUAUGCGAAAACGCGGGUGGAAAGCCCGCGCACCGAUAGCCCGAGGGUUCCCGGGGAAGGUUAGUCCGCCCGGGGUUAGCCGGUCCCUAAGGCGAAGCCGAGAGGCGCGACCGAUGGGAAGGGGGCAAAUAUUCCCCCGCCGGCAUGGAAGCGUUCGACCGAUGCGGCGACGCGCGGGUCGGGGCAUAGCGGCUGAUGGAUAUGCCGCGGAAGCAGCGCAGGGAGCCGGGGCGGCAAAUCCCCCCGGCGCAUGCCCGAGGCUGCCGACCGGGGUAGGGCUUCGGCCCGAGCCCGAGCUGCCCGUGCCCGCGCCAGGAAAACCCGCUAAGGGAGCUUGCGUGUCGACCGUACCCUAAACCGACACAGGUGGGCUGGGCGAGAAGCCCGAGGUGCUUGAGACAACCCGGGAGAAGGAACUCGGCAAAAUAGCCCCGUAACUUAGGGAUAAGGGGCGCCCCCAGCCGUGAGCGGGAACACCGCGGAGCGGCAGGGGGCCGCAGUGAAAUGGCAGGAGCGACUGUUUACCAAAAACACAGGGCCAUGCGAACCAGCAAUGGGAAGUAUAUGGUCUGACACGUGCCCGGUGCCGGAAGGUUAACGGGAGGCGUCAGGGGGCAACCCCGAAGCGGCGAACCGAAGCCCCGGUAAACGGCGGCCGUAACUAUAACGGUCCUAAGGUAGCGAAAUUCCUUGUCGGGUAAGUUCCGACCUGCACGAAUCGUGUAACGACUCCUGCGCUGUCUCCUCCCGAGACUCAGCGAAAUUGCAGUG